This is a long non-coding RNA of Oncorhynchus nerka (sockeye salmon), 223 nucleotides long. RefSeq lists it as uncharacterized. The record is from RefSeq and is a predicted model, not a curated record. Lineage: Eukaryota; Metazoa; Chordata; Actinopteri; Salmoniformes; Salmonidae. The transcript has 3 exons.
CGAAGAGGACAUGCAUCACCUGUGCAUUGUGAGGGGAGUGGAGAAACAGCUGUGGUGGAGCAGAGUCAUUCAGGAAAAAAUCCUGGACCCAUGGGGUAAUGUCCAGGUGGUCCUCACCAACAAGGAGGUGACUGGUAUUAAGUUCCUUGGUAGAAGGAUCCAUGGACUCAGGUCUUGCCUCGUCAAGAGGAGGUCAGAGUUCACCUAUUAUGAGGACGCCCAG